GCACUCGUAGCUCAGCUGGAUAGAGUACACGACUACGAAUCGUGUGGUCAGAGGUUCAAAUCCUCUCGAGUGCA
Molecule: transfer RNA, 74 nt
Filed under: Bdellovibrio sp.
Lineage: Bacteria; Pseudomonadati; Bdellovibrionota; Bdellovibrionia; Bdellovibrionales; Pseudobdellovibrionaceae
Rfam family: tRNA
About the family: Transfer RNA (tRNA) molecules are approximately 80 nucleotides in length. Their secondary structure includes four short double-helical elements and three loops (D, anti-codon, and T loops). Further hydrogen bonds mediate the characteristic L-shaped molecular structure. tRNAs have two regions of fundamental functional importance: the anti-codon, which is responsible for specific mRNA codon recognition, and the 3' end, to which the tRNAs corresponding amino acid is attached (by aminoacyl-tRNA synthetases). tRNAs cope with the degeneracy of the genetic code in two manners: having more than one tRNA (with a specific anti-codon) for a particular amino acid; and 'wobble' base-pairing, i.e. permitting non-standard base-pairing at the 3rd anti-codon position.
Source: Rfam by way of RNAcentral